CAAAGCAGCAAAAGCUCCUUCCCAUCAGGCUAUGGUGGAAAAGCAUUGAAUCUGGGACAGAGGUGUCAAUCUAUUGCUGUGUCUUGGAACCUUUAGAAAGCCUUCAAUCAUCUUGAAAAAGGAAUAUCUUCAUUCAUCGCCAUGGUCACACCAUAUUGGUAAAGGAAGACCGUUAAGUCACUACAAGUUCCUUCAGACAAAAUGAUUAAAAAUCUCCGAUCUAAAGGAAACCAGCAUCCAAGAUCACCAGCUUUACUUUAAGUUUUUCUCUAUCUUGUCAUAGACUGUCCUCAUCGACCUAUUGACACAGAUAAAUCAAAUCAAAGAUUUGGGAGUCAGUAGGAGGACCAAGGAAAAACGCUGUAGAGAAGAAGUACCUAAUUAUUUUGUUUGAGUAUGAUUGUUAGUCAAUAUUUAUGACAUGGGGAGAAAAGUUCGGGGAAGGUUGUUGUGUAAGGGAGGGGCUAAACCCUGAAACAAACAUGCAAUGAUGUCAGAGUUUCUCCCCACUGGGCAUAAAUAGCACAGUGUGAGUGAAUUCAGUGAGAUUGAGUGUUGGAUUAGAAUAGAGAACAUGAAUAGAGAACAGCCUUGUUUAAGUGAGAGCCGAGUAUAUCUAUGAUUACAUAUUAAAGUAUAAGAAACAAUGUUCUUUUAAAUCAAAGUCUAAAGACAGCUCUUAAACUGUUUGAAAUCUCCAAUCAUAGUGUGGCAUUAAAUCGCAUGAUAAAAGAGAUGGGAUUGUGGAGUUGAUGUUAUAAAUCCUGAUGUUAUUAAAUGGCAGAGUAGAGCCAAUGGCCAAGUGGCCUAAUCCUGCUCCUAAACUAUAUACCCAAAUGUAAUUUGCUUUUGUUAUAAAGUACUGUAAAACACACAAAGACUCAUGAAACUGAGGAGUUUAACAAGAUGGAGAGUGUUCCUACGUCACCUUCAUUGGAUUGGGAAGGGGCUGAGGUGAUAUUUCACUUGCACGGAGCUGCAACACUGUUAUCCUGAGCAAGUCAGUAAUGUAAUUGGAAAAUAAGAAACAGAGACAGACUCUGCACAGUUGUGACAAGGAGAGCUUGUGCAGCUCCAUACC
Non-coding RNA from Chiloscyllium plagiosum (whitespotted bambooshark), 1081 nucleotides. The record is from RefSeq and is a predicted model, not a curated record. Lineage: Eukaryota; Metazoa; Chordata; Chondrichthyes; Orectolobiformes; Hemiscylliidae.